Molecule: long non-coding RNA, 7185 nt
Filed under: Lactuca sativa (garden lettuce)
Lineage: Eukaryota; Viridiplantae; Streptophyta; Magnoliopsida; Asterales; Asteraceae
Description: long non-coding RNA (LSAT_LNC003389)
Source: RNAcentral
GCAGGGCGUACUCAGUACGCGGGGCGUACUCGGUUACGCGGGGCGUACUUUGACGUCACUGCGUGCGUCGACUGGUGGCACUCGAGUAUUGGUCAGACAAGUUGCAUCCGACUGAGUACGCGGGGCGUAAUUGACUCGUCGAACUUCUAAAUUGCGUAACUUUCGCAUACGAGCUCCGUUUUAAACGUUCUUUAUAUCCACGUGAAGGUCAGACCAUACUCUACAACUUUCAUUUAGACUCCAUCAGCUAAUUUUGAAUUUAUUUUUUUAUUAUUUAUUUUUAGAAGGCCGGGACAGAAAAACUUCGUUAUAAAUUCAUAACUUCUUCGUUUGACGUCCGUUCUCGCCUAACUUUUUAUCGUUUCAAUACCAACAAUGAGAUCUUCGAUUCUCAUUUAGAUUGCUUCGGCUAACAACCGCUCGAUCUCAAAUCGAGUAAAACAGGCUGUAUAUCGCUAAGCCGGAACUUCGAUAAAUCAUAACUUCCUCAUACGAAGUCAGAUUUGGGCGUUCUAUAUAUAUUCGGAAACCUCGUUUCAACUACUACAACAUUAACCAAAGAUAUUAAGUUUAUUUUACACUUAAAUUUUGACGCUUAUUUUUAUUCUUAAUUAAUCAAACCACAUAAUUAAGCAAUUAAGCACAAAACACAUAAUACUCAAAUAAUACAAUCUUAUUAUUUCAAAACGGGUUACAAAGGUUAACCUAGACUAUUACAUUGCUAAAAAUGGCAAGCCCGGAAACACAGGCGUUACAAUUCUCUCCACCUUAGAAUGAUUCCGUCCCCGGAAUCACACAUCAACAAACAAAUGCGGAUAGCGACUCAACAUGUCACUCUCCGUCUCCCAGGUGAGAUUCGGCCCAUUCGUGUGUUUCCAUCGGACAAGCACUAACCCAACCAUUUUGCGUCGCAACUUCUUAGUCUUUCGGUCAACAAUUGCCUCUGGUUCUUCAAUCAACCUUUUGUUCUCAUCAAUUCUCAAUUCAGAAAUUGGAAUUAUAUCGGGAACUUCUCCCGUGAACUUCCUCAAAUAACACACAUGAAAGGUGUUGUGAAUUCCAUUCAGUUCUUCGGGUAAUUCGAGCUUGUAAGCUUGAUUCCCAAUCCUCUGAAGGACUUUAAACGGUCCAAUAAACCUUGGACUCAACUUUCCCCUUUUACCAAAUCUUAUAAGUCCCUUCCACGGCGAGACUUUAAGCAAAACCGAAUCUCCAACCUCAAAAGUCAUCGGUCUUCGCUUCUUGUCAGCAUAGCUCUUUUGACGAUCUUGAGCUGCUAACAUUCUUUCCCUAAUUAUUUUCAACUUUUCAGCAGUUUGAUGAACCAUCUCCGGUCCCAUAAACUGCUUUUCCCCAGCCUCAAGCCAACAAGACGGCGUACGACACUUCUGUCCAUACAAAGCUUGAUAAGGUGCCAUCUUAAUGCUCGAGUGAAAACUAUUAUUAUAGGAAAAUUCUACCAACGGUAAAUGUUCAUCCCAAUUACCUAGGAAUUCCAAGGUACAUGCUCUCAGCAUAUCUUCAAGUGUUUGUAUUGUUCUUUCACUCUGACCAUCAGUCUGCGGAUGGUAAGCUGUGCUUAAACAUAACUUGGUACCCAUUUCCUCUUGUAGACUUUUCCAAAACCUUGAGGUGAAACGGCUAUCACGAUCCGAUACAAUCGUUAACGGAACACCGUGAAGCCUCACAAUUUCCUUCACGUAAGAAUUCGCAAGCUUUUCCAUAGACCAUUUCUCCCUGGCCGCUAUGAAAUGCGCACUCUUAGUGAAUCGAUCAACGACCACCCAAAUCAUGUCGUGACCAUUCUUUGUUCUGGGCAGUUUAGUGACAAAAUCCAUAGCAAUGUCUUCCCACUUACCCAUAGGCACAGGCAAUGGUUCUAAACUCCCGUAAGGUUUCUGAUGUUGUGUCUUGACUCUCGCACAAGUCACACACUCGGCCACAUACUUUGCAACAUCAAGCUUCAUCGUCGGCCACCAGUAGUAGGGUUUCAGGUCCCUAUACAUUUUAGUGCUACCCGGAUGAAUUGAGUACAUGGUUUUGUGAGCUUCUUCCAUCAGAAGAUCCCUAAUUCCUCCUGACUUAGGUACCCAAAUACGAUCUUGGAAUACCUUCAGUCCAUGACCGUUAGUACCAAACACCAACGUUUUACCCAAACGUUCCUCCUUUCGGUCAUUUUUCUCAGAAGCUUCCUCUUGAGCUUUCUUUAUACUUUCCACAAUAGUCGAGACAACUUCAAUUCUCAACGCUCUUGGCCUUUUCCUUUCAAGAUUGACUUUCCGACUGAGAGCAUCAGCAACAACAUUAGCUUUACCGGGGUGGUAAAGUAUCUCGCAGUCGUAGUCUUUAAGUAAUUCUAGCCAGCGUCGUUGCCUCAUAUUCAAUUCUUUCUGAUUAAAGAGGUAUUGGAGACUCUUAUGAUCAGUGAAAAGUUUGCACUUCGUGCCAUAGAGGUAAUGCCUCCAUAUUUUCAGAGCGAAAACUACCGCUGCCAACUCCAAAUCAUGAGUCGGGUAGUUCUUUUCAUGCUCUUUCAGCUGUCGAGACGCAUAUGCUAUCACCUUUUCUCUUUGGGUCAAAACACAACCCAAUCCAACCCCAGACGCAUCGCUAUAAACAGCGAAGUCUUCAACUCCAUCGGGUAGAGAAAGUAUCGGUGCCUCGCAUAGUUUCUUCUUUAGCUUCUCGAAUGCUUCUUUAUGCUUAUCACUCCAAGCAUAAGUAGCUCCUUUGUGGGUCAAAGCUGUUAAUGGACUAGCGAUCGAAGAAAAGCCUUGGAUAAACCUUCGGUAAUAUCCGGCUAAUCCUAAAAAGCUUCGGAUCUCCGUGGGACUUUUCGGUUGUUCCCACUUCAUCACAGCUUCGAUCUUCGCUGGAUCAACCAUUAUCCCUUCUUGGUUGACCACGUGACCCAAGAAUUGGACUUCACGAAUCCAGAAAUCACAUUUGGAGAACUUCGCAUACAACUUCUCCUUCUUCAAGACUUCUAACACUUCUCGCAAGUGUCUGCCAUGCUCCUCUUGGCUUUUUGAAUAAAUCAGAAUGUCAUCUAUGAACACUAUCACAGAUUUAUCAAGGAACGGAUUACAAACUCUGUUCAUUAAAUCCAUGAAUGCUGCUGGAGCAUUGGUUAGUCCAAACGACAUAACCAAGAACUCAUAGUGUCCAUAUCGCGUUCUGAAUGCAGUCUUCUCUAUAUCCUGCUCCCUUACUUUCAGCUGAUGAUAUCCUGACCUCAGGUCGAUCUUUGAAAAAUAACUUGAACCUUGUAGUUGAUCGAAUAGGUCAUCAAUCCUCGGCAACGGAUAUCUAUUCUUUAUUGUUGCCUUAUUCAGCUCUCGGUAAUCAAUGCACAUCCUCAUGCUUCCAUCUUUCUUCUUUACGAAUAACACCGGAGCUCCCCAGGGUGAUGAACUAGGUCUAAUGAAACCUUUGUCCAAUAACUCCUGAAGUUGCAUCAUUAGCUCCUUCAUCUCCGUCGGUGCUAAUCGAUAAGGUGCUUUUGCAAUUGGCGUUGUUCCGGGCAACAAGUCGAUACGAAAUUCUACUUGUCGAUCGGGCGGUAAUCCAGGAAGAUCUUCGGGAAAUACUUCCGGAUAAUCACACACAACAGGAAUAUUUUGCAUCACCUUCUUUUCCUUCUUAGCAUCGAUCACGAAUGCUAAGUAUGAUGUACACCCCUUGGUCAAACAUUUUCUGGCUUUCAUUAGAGAAAUGAUUCCAGAGUUUACUCUGCGUUUAUCUCCGUACACCAUAAACGAUUCCUUCCCAGGCGGGUUCACUUUCACUAUUUUCUUCUUGCAUAAAAUUUCGGCAUCAUUGGCGCUAAGCCAAUCCAUUCCCAAAACGAUGUCGAAACCGUUAAGUUCGAUAGGCAAUAAUUCCUCGUGGAACUUAUUUCCAUUCAGAUCAAUUAAGAUGUUUUUCAUACGAUGGCUAACAGGUACAAACUUGCCACUAGCAACUUCGACUAAUAAAGCAUUAUCUAGUCUAUCAACAGGCAAAGCUAGUUUUCUACCAAAUUCAUGCGAUAUAAAGGAGUAGUUGGCUCCAGAAUCAAAUAAAAUUUGGGCAGGCAAUUUGUUAACGAGAAAGGUACCUGAAGCGACAUCAGCUUCAUCUUUAGCAGCUUCCAGUGUCAUCUGGAAUGCUCUCGCCUUUGGCUUUGGCGGAAUGUUGGGUCUUGCUGCUUCCUUCUUUUUCGGACAAUCCCUUGAGAUGUGCCCCUCCUCACCACAACCAUAACAAACAUUCUUGGUGAAGGUGCAGUCAUUGGCAUAAUGCCCUAGCUUUCCACAUUUGAAGCAUGUGGUUUCCCCGCCACACUUCCCAUAAUGCUUCUUCUUGCACUUGUCACACCAUUUCGCUUCUACCUUUCCUCCACUUCCCCUCGAACUAGACUUCGAGAAUUUACUUUUCUUGCUGGACCCUGAAAAUCCAUCGAUUUUCCUUUUCUCGCCAACCUCUGACCUUUCCAGACCUUUUUCCCUGAUCUGGGUCUCAACAUUUCUAGCAGCCCAGAUGGCGGCUUUCAAUGUGGUUGCUUGCUUAACCAUUGGACCAUAGUCCGCUGGUAGUCCAAGGGCAAACUUGUUGACCUUAGAGAGUUCUGUAGGCACCAAAUAUGGGAUAAACUUCAUCUUUUCUGUGAAACUUGCAGCGUAUUCAGUAACGCUCAAUUUCCCUUUCUUCAAAUUCUGAAACUCAUUACUGAUUUCCAGAAGGUCCUGCUCGGAGCAGUAUUGCAUUUUUAGUUGUUCCACAAAGUCUUCCCAAGACAUUUUGCUUGCUUCUCCCUUGGGCAUAGAGUCAGCUAACAGCUUCCACCAACUCAACACGCCAGAUUUUAGCAGAGGGAUCGCAAGAGCGGUCUUCUGCCUGUUGCUGCAUUCGCAACUUUCAAACAUAGUCUCCAUUUCGGAGACCCAGUCCAUAACUUGCACCGGCGUCGGGCUUCCGGAUAGACAUGGUGGUUUGGAUGCCAUGAAAUCCUUAUACUUGCACCCACGACCAUCAUUUCCUCCAUACUGGUUAUUGCGUCUAACCACUGGUUGUUCGUCUUGACCAAUGAUCCCACUAAAGUUUUCUCCUUCAGACUGCCCUCCAUUCUCCUCGGGCUCUUCCGCUUGAAUUGACGGUUCUUCACGAUUCUGCCUAAGCAGGCGUCUUGUUUCUUCCAUCUGACGAUCCAACAUCAUUUGAAUCAUCAUUUGUACACCAGCCAUUGUUAUCGGCUCAGGUGCAUCAGCUACGACAGGUACUUGUUGAAUUACAGGCGGUUGAUUCCUGUUUUCAUCAGCAUUUCCAACUCCGCUUCUUGUUCUCACCAUUUUUGAUCUACACACCGAAUAAUUUCACCUUAUUACUCCAAACGAUUACAUGCUAGUUCUAAUAUCGUAUACAUACGCUUAGAAUCCUAAACACAUAAACCUUCAGAUCCGGUUGGCAACAAACCGUAGAUCCGAACAAAUAAUAUCAUAUAUGGCAACAUAUAACAUUUAGCACAUAAAAGCAUUUUAGGCAACUUUCCUAAAAUAAACUAGUGCUCGUGUCUAAAAUUUAUCAGACACACAUCUCACAAUCUCCACUUAGCAUACUAAGUUUAAGUCUAGAAAUCCUACAAAUUCCUAGUUCGCUUAAACUAAUGCUCUGAUACCAACUGUGACAUCCCCAAAAUCUCGGCCAGAAAAGACCGAUUUCAUUUAUGCUUUUUAAAACAUUUUCAGAGUAAAUCCGUUUGAUUUUAAAAGAGAUGCGGAAUUUGUUCCCAAAAACAAAACAUGAUAAAAUAGAUAUUUAUCAAAACAUUUCAUAUAGAAAUAUGAUUUCAUUUCAUAAUCAAAAGUCGGGAUGUCAUGUUCCGAUACAGAUCAUAAAGCAUAAACGAUAACAUUACAAGUCGUUCAACAAAUAUAUACAUAUACAGACUUGUAAACAAAAACAACUUGAUGAUUCGCCCAUCUUAAGCUCUUGCGCCACUUCCUGUAAUACAAAUCAACUGAGUGGGUCAGGCUUGGGAGCCUGGUGAGCAUAUAGGGUUUUCAAACCCACAAUAAUUAUAUUUAAUUACAACAAUCAACAAUAAACCCGAUUACCCAUUCCCGUUAUCCUCACCUUACGUUCCUAAAAAUAACGUCUAUUAUAAGGAACUUAUUUCAGGAUUUUCAUCGGGACGGACAUUACUGCAGAGGGGCUUCCUCAACAAUAAGUGUCCUAAAGGCAACCAUGUGGGGGAUAGAGUACACCGGUGAACACGUCGUUCACAACACCUACAGGUAAUGAGCCUGCUAGUGUUCCACAGGACAGUCUAGAAUAGUCCGUGGUCGUCAUCCAUACUCUGCUGAAUGACUAGAAUAACACCAAUAACACCGAGGCCUCUCAUCUGUUUAUUUCACACCAAUUAUCUACCCAUGUUCUACCCAACAUAUUAGUAGAUAAAAAUAUACAUUUUUAUACAUUGUUUAAAAACCUGUAUAGCAUGCUUUAAUCAAUACAUAUUCCACAUAACAGAUGAGGCAUACACACAUAACACGUAUUUCAUAGAGAAUAUACAUUCACACAUAUAACCACAAAAUAUAUACACGUAGCACGUAUUUUAUAUUAAAUACUUCAUAAUAUUGCGUUUUGAAAAGGGACUAUACACUCACUUGAUCAGAAGAUGAUCCGACAGCACUACGGCUUAUAGAAGUAGCGUCUCUUCGUAGAUCUGGAAGAUCUUCACAAAAACCGGCUCCUCGCGGGCAGGGCUUCGGCUCGGGAAUAACGCUCUUCGGGAUUCUCGGGGCUUCGGAUCUCGCUUCGGGGCUCGGGAAUGAUACCGGGGCUUCGGGAUAUGAUUGGCACGCAAAUCGAGGCAAAACUUAGAGAGAGGGAAGAGUUUGAACAAGAGAAAAUGGCUGAAUUCGAGUUCUAUUUAUAGGCUGAGGGUCUGGGAUUACGCGGGGCGUAAUCUCAAAUUACGCAGGGCGUACUCAGUACGCGGGGCGUACUCGGUUACGCGGGGCGUACUUUGACGUCACUGCGUGCGUCGACUGGUGGCACUCGAGUAUUGGUCAGACAAGUUGCAUCCGACUGAGUACGCGGGGCGUAAUUGACUCGUCGAACUUCUAAAUUGCGUAACUUUCGCAUACGAGCUCCGUUUUAAACGUUCUUUAUAUCCACGUGAAGGUCAGACCAUACUCUACA